CAAAGGAAACAGCAGUCCAGACUCUGAUUCCAGCUCCAACAUGAAGAGAGAGGACACUUGGCUUCCAUGUACGAGGAACACAAGUCCCAGAUUGUGUCACUCUUUCAGAAGAUGCCCUCAGAUUCAGAUCCAUCAACAACCCCUGAC
Long non-coding RNA from Labrus bergylta (ballan wrasse), 147 nucleotides. RefSeq lists it as uncharacterized. The record is from RefSeq and is a predicted model, not a curated record. Lineage: Eukaryota; Metazoa; Chordata; Actinopteri; Labriformes; Labridae.